RNAcentral lists this ribosomal RNA (346 nucleotides) under uncultured archaeon. RNAcentral's name for it is "bacterial SSU rRNA". It matches the Rfam family "Archaeal small subunit ribosomal RNA", at positions 22 to 376 of the family's 1478-position model. The record is from RNAcentral.
UUCUGGUUGACUGCCCCGGGNAAACCUGACNNUGGCUAUCGGAUUGGUACUAAGCCAUGCGAGGUCGUAGCAUACGACCGGACGGCAUACCUAUCACUACUCAUGGAGGGAUUCUCAAACUGGAUAACCCUCAUAAUCGUACCUGAAUGGUCCAUUGUUAAAACAGUUUACUGCAUGGGAUGGGACUGCNGNGCCUAUCAGCUUGUUGGUGAGGUAAUGGCCACCAAGCUAUAACAGGUACGGGCUCUGAAGGAAACCCGAAUGGGUACUGAGACACGGACCCAGGCCCUAUGGGGCGCAGCAGGCGAGAAACCUUAGCAAUGUGCGAAAGCACGAANCUUUGGGG